RNAcentral lists this ribosomal RNA (553 nucleotides) under Cinguloterebra fenestrata. RNAcentral describes it as "partial 12S ribosomal RNA". Lineage: Eukaryota; Metazoa; Mollusca; Gastropoda; Neogastropoda; Terebridae. The record is from RNAcentral.
CACUAAGAAGUUAAGUCAUAUGAAAUAUGGUGAAAAGACAGUUAAGUAUUAAAUUUAAGAAGGUUGUUUAAUGCAGCAUAUAGAGGUAAAAUUUAGGUAUGUUUGUAUAAAUCUAAAAUAGCUUUGAAGCUGAAUCUGUGAAGUCCUUGAGGGAAACUGGGAUUAGGUACCCCACUAUUCUAGGAUGUAAAAUGGAGUAAUUUUACCAGAGUACUAUGAAUGUUGUAAAUUUAAAACUCAAAGAACUUGGCGGUGUUUUAGACCAUUUAGGGGAACCUGUCUCGUAAUCGACAAUCCGCGUUAUACCUGACCUUUCUUUGUUUUUCAGUAUGUAUACCGUUGUCGUCAGGUAACUUUUUAGAAAAAGGGAGUUGGCUGGGAAAAUAAGGUAAUUUAAUACGUCAAAUCAAGGUGCAGCUAAUAGAAAGGGGAGGAUGGGUUACAGUUAUAUAAUUAUAAUUACGAAUAAUUAUAUGGAAAGUGUAAAUUAUGAAGGUGGACUUGAAAGUAAAUUGGGUUAUAAGGAUAAUUUGAAUAAGGCUCUGAAACGUGU